This 82-nucleotide transfer RNA is filed under the name Cantharis plagiata. Its description in RNAcentral is "tRNA-Ser". Lineage: Eukaryota; Metazoa; Arthropoda; Insecta; Coleoptera; Cantharidae. The record is from RNAcentral.
UAUUAGUUAAAUAUUAGUUAAUGAACUUGAUACAAGUAUAUAUUUUGAAAAUAUAAAAAAAGAUUUAUUAUUCUUAUUAACU